Molecule: ribosomal RNA, 478 nt
Filed under: uncultured bacterium
Lineage: Bacteria
Description: partial 16S ribosomal RNA
Rfam family: Bacterial small subunit ribosomal RNA
Source: RNAcentral
GACGAACGCUGGCGGCGUGCUUAACACAUGCAAGUCGAACGGUAAGGCCCUUCGGGGUACACGAGUGGCGGACGGGUGAGUAACACGUGGGUGAUCUGCCCUGCACUUCGGGAUAAGCCUGGGAAACUGGGUCUAAUACCGGAUAGGACUCCUGGCUUCAUGGUUGGGGGUGGAAAGCUUUUGCGGUGUGGGAUGGGCCCGCGGCCUAUCAGCUUGUUGGUGGGGUAAUGGCCUACCAAGGCGACGACGGGUAGCCGGCCUGAGAGGGUGACCAGUCACACUGGGACUGAGAUACGGCCCAGACUCCUACGGGAGGCAGCAGUGGGGAAUAUUGCACAAUGGGCGCAAGCCUGAUGCAGCGACGCCGCGUGAGGGAUGACGGCCUUCGGGUUGUAAACCUCUUUCAGCUAUGACGAAGCGCAAGUGACGGUAGUAGCAGAAGAAGGACCGGCCAACUACGUGCCAGCCGCCGCGGUAA